This 61-nucleotide transfer RNA is filed under the name marine eukaryotic metagenome. It matches the Rfam family "tRNA", at positions 7 to 62 of the family's 71-position model. Rfam says of the family: Transfer RNA (tRNA) molecules are approximately 80 nucleotides in length. Their secondary structure includes four short double-helical elements and three loops (D, anti-codon, and T loops). Further hydrogen bonds mediate the characteristic L-shaped molecular structure. tRNAs have two regions of fundamental functional importance: the anti-codon, which is responsible for specific mRNA codon recognition, and the 3' end, to which the tRNAs corresponding amino acid is attached (by aminoacyl-tRNA synthetases). tRNAs cope with the degeneracy of the genetic code in two manners: having more than one tRNA (with a specific anti-codon) for a particular amino acid; and 'wobble' base-pairing, i.e. permitting non-standard base-pairing at the 3rd anti-codon position. The record is from RNAcentral.
CCGUAGCUCAGUUGGAUAGAGCAGUAGAUUUCUAAUCUGAAGGUCCGAGGUUCGAGUCCUC